GCCUACGGGGGGCAGCAGUGGGGAAUAUUGCACAAUGGGGGAAACCCUGAUGCAGCGACGCCGCGUGAGUGAAGAAGUAUUUCGGUAUGUAAACCUCUGUCCUCUGUGAAGAUAAUGACGGUAGCAGAGGAGGAAGCUCCGGCUAACUACGUGCCAGCAGCCGCGGUAAUACGUAGGGAGCGAGCGUUGUCCGGAUUUACUGGGUGUAAAGGGUGCGUAGGCGGGUAAGCAAGUCAGAAGUGAAAUCCAUGGGCUUAACCCAUGAACUGCUUUUGAAACUGUUUAUCUUGAGUGAAGUAGAGGUA
This 305-nucleotide ribosomal RNA is filed under the name uncultured bacterium. RNAcentral describes it as "bacterial SSU rRNA". It matches the Rfam family "Bacterial small subunit ribosomal RNA", at positions 337 to 659 of the family's 1533-position model. The record is from RNAcentral.